Molecule: long non-coding RNA, 1426 nt
Organism: Erigeron canadensis
Lineage: Eukaryota; Viridiplantae; Streptophyta; Magnoliopsida; Asterales; Asteraceae
Exons: 8
Source: RefSeq, a predicted model, not a curated record
CAUGGCAUCAUCUAUUUCGGAUCACGAGGAAGAAGUAGAUGAAACUGAGCUAAAGCUGUUAGUUGAGGCAGAGAUAAUAGACGAAGAUGGAAGAGUUCUCACGCAAUAAAAACUCAGGGCAAAAGAUGUUUUCAAGCUAAAAGAAGGUGAAAAGAUUCUGGUACCUGUUAACGAAUUUCAUCAACCAAUCAAAGCAGCAGCUCGUUUAUGCACUAGAUUCAUGACCCUACUUCUAAAAGAACCACACUUGUGUCUACCUGAUACUAAAAACCGGAAAGAAUGCAAAAUUAGAUGUGGUACUAGGCUUCUGAUAGAGCUUCGGAGAUUUAACUUACCUCAAGGAGAUAAUGUGGACAAAGUCCUUCUGGAUACAUUCAAUGAGAAAUUUAGGAGUCUGAAAUUUAGGUUCAAAAAUAAGCUGCUUAAGUUAGCUGCCAAAAAGUUAGAUGAAGCUAACAUUGGUGGAGAUGAUGUGGAAUACACAGAGGAUCAACUUUUAAAUGCACUUGACUUGGUUAGAGCACCAGAUAACUUUUUAGAUCAUCAGUGGGAAGUGUUCAAAAACAAUCUUAGAUCACCAACAGCAAAGAAAUUGUCCAAAUAUGGAAAGGAUGCAAGAGAUAGCAAAGUUCAUCAUCACAGCACGGUGCUGUUAGUUUUGCACGGAAAAAAGAUGAAUUCUUGGUUAUCAAAGGAAGAGAGGCAAAUGACGUUGAGUUCUUUAGAAGUUCUCAUUUGAUGAAAAAUGGGUCAUAUGCUAAACAUGCAUCAAGACAACUUUUGGAUCGAGCACAAGAAGGAAUUGCUAGAAAGGUAUUAGAGGCCGGCAGUGACUCUAUUGAUUCUGAAAAGCAAUUAGAAAUUGUAAGGGAAGUUAUGCAAGAACUAAGGGGCCCAAAUAAGCGUGGACGACCUCCUAGUUAUGGAGCUGGAGUUAAAAGAUCGCAAGUAACUAAGUUUAGUUUUGAUUUGCGAAAGUUAAGAGGCAAAAAUAUAGCAAAUGAAAACAGAUUCCUUUUGGAUAAAGUUGACACUCAAAGUAAGCAAAUUGAAUCUCAAAGGGAACAAAUAGAAACUCAGAGUAGGCAGAUAGAAAGUCAGAGUAAGCAAAUGUUGAUUAUGCAGCAGAGUAUUGAUGAUUGUACUGCAGAGCUUCGACUCUUUAGGACUGCUUUUUCUGACUUCUAUGGGGCACGUAUGUCCACAACACCACAGACAUCUUCUCGUGCAUUUCAUCAAGAUCAUUUAUGAAUCUGCUUCAAUAUUUGUGUUUUGAAAGGUACUUUCUAAAGGGACUCAAAGAUGUAAAUGAGAUAUGAAAUAUGAAUGUACAGCCAAUGGAAUAUGUAGUGAAAUUAGUAUUGAAUGUACAUUAGAGCUCAUGAAUGUAUAACCCAAGAGUUUCUAAAUAAUCUUUUAAUUUCUA